CCCUAGGGAAGGAAUCCAUGCAGCAGAAAAUCAGAUACUUUCAACAGCAGAGUCGACGCUACCCAGAUUCACUUUGGUAAGCAAUCGGUGACAACGGAAAGGACCGGCUUUUCUGUGCACACAUUGCUGGUGCUAAGGUCCAUGCAGUGCAGCCUGCAGCAGCCUGGGCUGGCUCAGCAUUCCGGGCACUCUUCCCUGCCUUGCUCUGACGCUCAGGCUCAGCCAGAGGUAGAUUUGAGUUGGCUGUUUUUCUGCUUAGAGCAGCUCUCCCACCCAGGAUCUGCUUCCCGGUCUUCAUUACAUGCAUCCAUGCCAUCCGCUUAGGCCUUACAGAUUCCUCUUUCUCCCGACGACGGAAGAUAAUCAGGGACCCCAGAACUCUUGACCUCUCAACCCUGACCCCUCUCUUAGCUCUCCAGCUGAGUGUUCGUUAUGAUGUGGGCGGAGGGCAGCAGGGAGAACUCUCUCUGUGUGUCCUGAUCCCUGGGAAAAUGCAUGGCUUGUAGUCAUGCCCUGUGUCUUUCAUGUCCUAUGUGUAUAUGCUAACCACAGACAAGAGACCACCUGAUAAAAAGAAAUCCAUCACAGGACGUGUGAAGGAGGCAGCAACCACGUGGAACUCGUGUCUCGAACACAGUGCAGUCUUCACACCUCAGCGCUGGGCAUCGGGAGGCAGCCUUCAUGUGAUGCUACCCUAUGAGGCCAGCAAGGGCUCCCGGGAAAUGAAAACGGCAGCAGCCGGCACCCAGUCCCAGCAGCAGACAGGAGCAGGUUAAUCCACACCAUGGACACUGUCUAUGCAAAGCGGAUAUUUGGUCCCAGAUGGCUCAACCCUUGGCUAUUACACAUCCUUAAAGCUGACACUGGCAUAGCACAUGGGUAUGUAACACUUAAAGUAUUGCUGCAACCCUUCAGGAAGGAUGUCCUGGAAAGCUGCACACCCCCAGGCGUCAGCCUUCUGACAUCGCAUGAGGAGGGGCUAAAUGACAUUUGGAGACCAUGUGUGCUGAUGUGGUUUGGAUGUGUGUCCCUCCAAAACGUAUGUGAAAUGUGAUCCCCAGUGUUAGAGGGGAGGCCUGGUGGGAGGUACUAGAUCACAGAAGUGAAUCAGUCAUGUCAUGAACAGUUCAGCACCAACCCCUUGAUAUGAGUUAGUUCUCACUCAGUCAGUUCACCUGAGCUCUGGGUGUUUAAACGUCUGGGAACCCCCUCCUCUCCUGCUCCCACUCUUGCCAUGUGAUGCUUUGGCCCCCUUCACCCACCACCACAAUUGGAAGCUUCCUGAGGCCUCACCAGAAGCAGACGCCAGCACCAUACUUCCUGUACAGCCUGCAGAACUGGUUUCAUCUGGAGCCUCUCUGGUGGGUAGUGCCUCCUUGGCUCACUCUUGCCUGUGAGUUUCUCAGACUUUGCUUGAUCCUGGUGACCCUGGCAGUUCUGAAGAGCACUUGUCAGCAGGCAUCCAUUUGACGGCACAGAAGACGGAUGUGACAGGACCCUGGCUCACAAAGAGCUGCUCAGGCCCAGGCUCUGCAGCAGGGCUGUGCCCAAAGCCCCAGCUCCUCCCCGUUGUCCACAUGGCUGGGCCCUGCAUGGGAGGAAAGAGGGGGCAUGAAGACAAACAGCGAGGAAAUUGGGGUUUCGGAGGGCAGGCCUGCCCAGAAUGCAUUCCUAUAAAUUCUGAAGGAAGAGGGUGGGAGAGACCCACCAUUCUGCUUUACAUAUGCAAGGAAUACGUGAGGAGCCUGAAUUCCUAGGAAAGGUGAGACAUCGGGGCAGAUACCGGCCCAUUCGCCAUGCUCCUUUCUCGCUGUGGGUGAAGAGAAGACGGUGAUGGACACUCUGGCUUCCGCUGCAGGAGCUCCACAGCCAGGGAACCCCUCUGCUCCCUUCGCCGUGUGAAAUCGCAUCUAGCUCCUCCACCGCAGAGGCACCGGGGCAGCACUGGAAACACAGCCCGAGGGUAACUCAAAAACCCAGGGCCGCUUUCAUAUACGCCUGAGGUUUACAACCACCCUGUAAAAUGCAGGGGGUGGCUCCUUCCACUGAAGUUACUUAUUCCUACAGAUGAGUCAAAACGGCACUGAAACAACAUAUCUUCCCUUCUUUCGUUCCCCUGAAAAAAAUCCCAAACCAUGGUCCUUUUCCCACUUACUCUGCUUAUCCUCCCAAGCCAGGAGCUGAAAUGGCCCUUUUUUCAAGCCUGAUUUGCUUAAUCUUCAAUUUUAGCCCAUGGAGUCAUUCAUGGGAGCUGAUGCAACCACAUCAACACCCCCUGAGCCGGGGUUUUUCAACCACAGCACCCCAACAUUCUUUGUGUCUCCCCAGUUCUAGGAGCAGUCAGUGCAGAUAGGAGCAGCACAGCAAUGACACCACACCCACAAAACCGGGCAAACAUAAUGAAUAAGAGAACUAAAAGUGAACGCGGCAGCAGCUUUACAUCUCAGUGCCAAUUUGAGAUUGGUAUUGCC
RNAcentral lists this long non-coding RNA (2471 nucleotides) under Homo sapiens (human). Its description in RNAcentral is "HSALNT0338644". The record is from RNAcentral. Lineage: Eukaryota; Metazoa; Chordata; Mammalia; Primates; Hominidae.